This 207-nucleotide microRNA precursor is filed under the name Oryza sativa Japonica Group (Japanese rice). RNAcentral's name for it is "MIR812 microRNA precursor family". It matches the Rfam family "MIR812 microRNA precursor family". The record is from Rfam by way of RNAcentral. Lineage: Eukaryota; Viridiplantae; Streptophyta; Magnoliopsida; Poales; Poaceae.
AAUAAGUGCAGUUUUGCGCUAUUCACGUUCAACGUUUGACCAUUCAUUUUAUUUGAAAUUUUUUAUGAUUAGUAUUUUUAUUGCUAUUAGAUGAUAAAACAUAAAUAGUAUUUUAUGUGUGACUAAAUAUUUUUAAAUUUUUUACAAAUUUUUUAAAUAAGACGGACGGUCAAACGUUAGACACGGAUAUCCACGGCUAUACUUAUU